GCGGCUGUAGUCUAGCGGUAGGACACGUCCCUGCCACGGACGUAACCCGGGUUCGAAUCCCGGCAGCCGCA
This 71-nucleotide transfer RNA is filed under the name Candidatus Woesearchaeota archaeon. RNAcentral describes it as "tRNA-Gly". It matches the Rfam family "tRNA". Rfam says of the family: Transfer RNA (tRNA) molecules are approximately 80 nucleotides in length. Their secondary structure includes four short double-helical elements and three loops (D, anti-codon, and T loops). The record is from RNAcentral. Lineage: Archaea; Nanobdellati; Candidatus Woesearchaeota.